GUGUCAGCCGCCGCGGUAAUACAGAGGGUGCGAGCGUUGUUCGGAAUUACUGGGCGUAAAGCGCGCGCAGGCGGUCCUUUAAGUCUACCCGUGAAAUGCCGGAGCUCAACUCCGCGCACGCCGGGGGAUACUGGGGGACUGGAGACAUGUAGAGGCAAGCGGAAUUCCGGGUGUAGCGGUGGAAUGCGUAGAUAUCCGGAAGAACACCUGAGGCGAAGGCGGCUUGCUGGGCAUGAUCUGACGCUGAGGCGCGAAAGCGUGGGGAGCAAACAGGAUUAGAUACCCUAGUAGUCC
Molecule: ribosomal RNA, 294 nt
Filed under: uncultured bacterium
Lineage: Bacteria
Description: partial 16S ribosomal RNA
Rfam family: Bacterial small subunit ribosomal RNA
Source: RNAcentral